CCAGACGGCCGGACGGCUGCCUUUUGCUGUGGGAAACCUGCAAGGGGAGGAAAGUCCGGGCUCCACGGGAACACGGUGCCGGAUAACGUCCGGCGGGCGCGAGCCUAGGGAAAGUGCCACAGAAAGCAAACCGCCCGGUCUCCGGACCGGGUAAGGGUGAAAGGGUGCGGUAAGAGCGCACCGCGUCCCUGGCGACAGGGAUGGCAGGGUAAACCCCACCGGGAGCAAAACCGAAUAGGAAGGGCCGAUGGCUUCGGACCAUGGGUGCGUUCCCGCAUCGUCCUUCGGGUAGGUUGCGCGAGGCGUCCGGCAACGGGCGUCCCAGAUGAAUGGCCGUACUAGACAGAACCCGGCUUACAGGCCGUCUGGUCCC
RNAcentral lists this RNase P RNA (373 nucleotides) under Rhodospirillaceae bacterium. RNAcentral's name for it is "RNase P RNA component class A". It matches the Rfam family "Bacterial RNase P class A". From Rfam's summary of the family: Ribonuclease P (RNase P) is a ubiquitous endoribonuclease, found in archaea, bacteria and eukarya as well as chloroplasts and mitochondria. Its best characterised activity is the generation of mature 5'-ends of tRNAs by cleaving the 5'-leader elements of precursor-tRNAs. Cellular RNase Ps are ribonucleoproteins. Lineage: Bacteria; Pseudomonadati; Pseudomonadota; Alphaproteobacteria; Rhodospirillales; Rhodospirillaceae. The record is from RNAcentral.